Molecule: ribosomal RNA, 561 nt
Filed under: Colletotrichum karsti
Lineage: Eukaryota; Fungi; Ascomycota; Sordariomycetes; Glomerellales; Glomerellaceae
Description: eukaryotic LSU rRNA
Rfam family: 5.8S ribosomal RNA (bases 197-350)
Source: RNAcentral
CAUUACUGAGUUACCGCUCUAUAACCCUUUGUGAACAUACCUACAACUGUUGCUUCGGCGGGUAGGCCGUCCCCUGAAAAGGACGCCUCCCGGCCCGGACCGGACCCCCCGCGGGACCGGACCCGGCGCCCGCCGGAGGAUAACCAAACUCUAUUGUAACGACGUUUCUUCUGAGUGGCAUAAGCAAAAUAAUCAAAACUUUUAACAACGGAUCUCUUGGUUCUGGCAUCGAUGAAGAACGCAGCGAAAUGCGAUAAGUAAUGUGAAUUGCAGAAUUCAGUGAAUCAUCGAAUCUUUGAACGCACAUUGCGCCCGCCAGCAUUCUGGCGGGCAUGCCUGUUCGAGCGUCAUUUCAACCCUCAAGCUCUGCUUGGUGUUGGGGCUCUACGGUCGACGUAGGCCCUCAAAGGUAGUGGCGGACCCUCCCGGAGCCUCCUUUGCGUAGUAACAUUUCGUCUCGCACUGGGAUCCGGAGGGACUCUUGCCGUAAAACCCCCCAAUUUUCCAAAGGUUGACCUCGGAUCAGGUAGGAAUACCCGCUGAACUUAAGCAUAUCAAUAA